Molecule: non-coding RNA, 648 nt
Organism: Monodelphis domestica (gray short-tailed opossum)
Lineage: Eukaryota; Metazoa; Chordata; Mammalia; Didelphimorphia; Didelphidae
Source: RefSeq, a predicted model, not a curated record
CUUCUGUGAGACAUGAAACUGAUAACUGUAUUCCUCAUCUUUAUGGGAAUCAAGACAAUGGCAUAAUUCUCAUUUGGAAUACCUGGUGUAUAUAUACUUGGGCUUUAAAUUCUCCAUUGUGACAGAGGCUGGCACUAGAGAAAAACUACCAAGCAGAAGAGUAUGUGAAAUUGAUCACCUCAACAGAGGAGGGGCCCCAGUAGUGGAAUCCAGAGGAGGAGUAGACUCUGGCUGGGAGAGAAGUGAGGGUCUCUCGGUCUUGAGAAGCCAAAGAGAGAAGUUGGGGAAAAGAUUUUCUCCUGAGGGUUACCCAUUUUUCCUACUGGUAACUAGAAAUUUUUCCUCUCAACACUUCCCAAUUGAAGGGACUUCUGAAGAGAAACCUGAGCAGACUUUACCUCAGGUCCUGUUGCCCAGGGAUAAAAAAAAUGGAAACUAAGAAUGACAAAAUGACUUCCCAGGAUCACACAACUAACAGGUAACUGAGAGGGAGGGAACAGAUAAAGAGGAACCCCACUUCUCCCAACCCAGGUAGAGCUGUCUAGAAAAUGGAGUUGGAUGUUGGAUAUGACCAGAGCUGAAGGGUAAGAGAAAAUCCCCUUUAAUCUCUAUUCUUAUUGUCCUCUUUAGUUGAUUGUAUCUAUGAUC